UCACAACAAGUUCGCCCAGCGACAUUUAACCAUGGGUUUGUUAUGUUGACGUUAGCGGCAGACAAUGGCGGACCGCGAGGCAUGCCGGUAUUUGUAGUCCUUUGACCUGUGACUGGCGCUUUACGAGUGCGGCUGCAUCCCGGCAACAAAGACUACAAUUCCCGUCACUCAUUGCUGCGAAAGGGUUGACCGUUUUCGGAUCCCAAAAGUAAAGACAGUUAGUCCAAGGAGAGCGGGAGAGGGGUGGGAGUGGGGAAGGGUAAAGAGUCUUGCAGAAUCACCAGGAUACUGAAAUCAAUAAACAGAGAUGAGAUAUUCGAAUAAACAACGCCCUUCUUUUUGAAUUGGACACUCGAUUGGCGCGCGGCAGAACCAACGGUUUGACUGCGGCUCGAGCCGGCGGUACGUUCGUUUGGCUCGGGUGGUGGGGGGGGUGUGGUUUCGCGCUAGUCCUGCCAGGCCGGUGACGUCACAGGCGUUCCAUUGUGCCGUCGGGAAGGAGGCGGGGCAAAGGACGGGAGGGCGGUGAAGGGAUUGGGUUGGCGAGGGACGGGGGAGGGGAAGGAGGAAGGCAGAGGUUAUAAAAGGCCGUGCCGCCUGCUGCCUCGCUGCUAGUCACAGUAUGGCCGGCGACAUUAGCUAGCGCUCGCUGUAAGCAAUUCUCUGUGUAGAGGGAUCGGAAUUGGGGGCAAUUAUAAAAUUAUAUAAACAUCUUUUACAAAAAAAUCUUUUUAAAAAAAGCAAAAACAGAAACCGGACCGCUAAAGAACCCACUAAAACAGAGCAAUU
This is a non-coding RNA of Chiloscyllium plagiosum (whitespotted bambooshark), 789 nucleotides long. Lineage: Eukaryota; Metazoa; Chordata; Chondrichthyes; Orectolobiformes; Hemiscylliidae. The record is from RefSeq and is a predicted model, not a curated record.